GCUAAGCCAACAGCUAAACUGAGCUGGACUGUCCUUUGGCUUCUGAACUGGGGAGAAGCUUUGGCUUGUGGUUGAUGGUGUAGAAGAACCUAUUUGUAUCUCUGAGAUUUAUCUGGCUAGUUGGUAGAAGAAGAAAGAAGACAGACAAUUGUCCUCCUAUCUCUUAGACUGUCCCUGAUAGUGACUGAUUGCCAUUUCCCCAAUAUCUUCCUAAACAAGACUCCUUGUAGAGAAUAGGGAAACCUAUCCUGCUUACCUUAUCCUCUACUCUUGUCCUACCUUCCCCAAAUAAACCCUUACUUGAGAAAAGAAGAAAGAAAGAGUAUUUCCUCUGAAAUCUCAUUGUUUACCCUGAGUGACUUGAAGGGAGGGGGAAGCUGAAGACUUUUGAAGAGAGAGGAAAACUGGGAGGAGGGUAGGCAAACUUGAUCCAUUAGUUAUCCAGAAUCAAUCAAUAUACACCCUCAGGAAUUACUAUCUAUUACAGAUUGGCACCCCAGAUGAGACAAUAAAUAACAGUCCCUAAUGAAAACAAAGGAAUGAACAGUGAUUCGAUGGCAAUGAACACCUUAGCUACACACUGGCCAGAACCAUAUGUAUGGAGUAAGGUGGGAAAGAAAAACUACAAGGCUCUCUUAGAUACUGAUGCUUCAAAAUCUGUCCUAAAGACAUGUCCAGGGGAUACCAACACAGGGGCUAUGGUUUCUGUAGCUGGAGCAAUGGGACAAAUACAACAGGUCCCUGAACUUAAAAGCCCUAUGGCCAAAGUGGGUCCUCUCUCCAUAGAUCAUAUCUUCUUGUUGAUUCCCUUAUGUCCAGAUAACAUUUUAGGAUGAGAUUUUUUGUGUAAGAUUCAAGUGCCUUUAUAAUGUGAGAAAUCUAGGAAAUUUUAUUUUCAUUUACCCAAGAAUUCACUGAAACAAUACCCAUUCUUAUACGUAGAACAACUAGAAGAAGAAGAACCUGAAAAAAAUUCAAGUUGUUACAUCUAUGUAUGACAUAUCAAAAGAUAUACCACAAGGGGUAUUUGCAAAACAUCAAAAUGAUGUGGGUAGGAUCAAGUUGAUUACUCCAGUCAGGAUUGAAGUCAGGGAAGGAAUACCACCUAAGAUACAGCAAUACAAAAUGAGUAGAGAAGCAAAAGAACAGAUAACGCCUAUCAUAAACAGUUUGCUUGAGCAAGGCAUAUUCAGACCUACGGUAGCUGAAUACAAUAGCCCAAUUCUAGCUAUUAAAAAGAACAAGCUAAAUGAAGAUGGCACUCCCGCCUAGAGAUUUGUCAAGGAUCUGAGGGCUGUGAAUAAUUUUAUAAGGAAAAGGAAAAAUUAUAUAAGGAAAAGAUUCCCUGUCACACCUUCACCAAAUGAUAUCAUAACCCAAAUACCUGCAGAAGCUGUUGGACUUGAGCAACAUUUACUUUACCAUACUGUUGCACCCUGAUUCUCAAAAUAUUUUUGCUUUCCAAUGGGGACAAACUCAGCUGUGCUAUACUAGAUUAGUGCAAGGAUGUUGUGAGUCUGCUUUAAUAUUUUGUCAACUUUUGCAAAGAGAUCUAGUCACCAUAACUUUCAAACAUAGCAGAUUAAUACACUAUGUGGAUGAUUUGCUGCUAGCAUCUCCUGACCCAAAAACAUGUUUGGAGGAUUCAAAGAAAUUACUGAUAGAACUUUAUAAGAGAGGACAUAAAGUUUCAAAAAAGAAGAUUCAGUGGAUCCUUCCAACAGUGGAAUAUUUAGGAUUUGUCCUGGAGGGGGGCACCAGGAAUAUCUCUAAGAAAAGAAUAGCAGACAUACUGAAGCUAGGCAUCCCUAAAACUAAGAAAGAACUUAGAGCUUUUCUAGGGGUUGCUGGUUUCUUGAGACAAUACAUAGUGGGAUAUUCUCAUAUUUCCAAAUGUUUAACUGAUUUGACAAAGAAAGACAUUAAAGAACCAUUACAAUGGAAUAAAGAACAUUUACAUGCUUUGUCACAGUUGAAAGGAGCUAUUUUAUCAUCUCCAGCUUUGGAAAUAUCUGAUUAUAAGAAAGAAUUCCACUUGUAUGUCCAUGAAGCAAAAGGCAUCCCUUCUGGAAUGCUAGCACAGUAUUUUGAGUUAAAUCUAAGGGCUAUUGCAUUUUACAGUUCUGUCUUCGACUCGGUUGCACAAGGAAUGGUGCAUUGCCUCAGGAGCAUAGUAGCUACAGUUCUGAUGGUCAAGAAGUCAUAUGAUAUAGUACUGGGAUGUAAAUUGCACGUGUAUACUGUACAACAAAUUGAAAAACUGUUACAGUUGCAGAAUAUUUAUUCAUUCACCAAUUCAAGAAUAUCCCAGUAUGAAGUCACUUUGUUAGGCAAUGAUAACAUCACAAUUCAUAGAUGUGCAACAUUGAACCCAGCGACUCUGAUUCCUGAUUUGCCAAUGGGUGGAGAAGUAUUACAUGAUUGUGGCCAAAUAGUAGAACUCACACACAAACCAAAUGAACACCUUAAAGACACACCUCUUAUUGAUCCAGAAAUAGAGUUAUACACAGAUGGGUCAUCCUAUGUUCGCGAUGGGAGAAAAUUCACAGGGGCAUCUGUAGUUGACAACGACAGAACACUUUGGCAAGCAUCACUGCCAAGUCAUGUCAGUGCCUAAGGAGCUGAGCUCAAGAUUCUACUCAUGGCCUUAGAAUUAGCUAGAGGGAAAAGAGCUAAUAUUUUUCUGCAUUCACACUAUGCUUUCUCCACUGUACAUUGGUCAUCAUACUUACAGAAAAACAGAGGGUAUAAAACUUCAGCUAGGAAACCAAUUGCAUAUGGCAACCUAAGAGAUCAUAUUAUAAGUGCUGUAGACUUUCCUAAAGAGGUGACCAUAAUCUAUUGUAAAGCGCAUACUCAUGGAAAGGACAGAAUAUCCCUAGGGAAUGACAGAGCAGACAUAACAUCAAAAUAUGCUGCAAGGUCCAGGCCCCACCGUGUGCUGAAUUUCUCUCUGACUGAAAGGUAGAAUCUCAUUGAAGCCUAUGAUGGAGAAGAUGGAGAAGAAAUACAGUCAUGGAAAGAGCAGCUAGGUGCUAAACUAAUCAAAGGCAUCUGGAUUGCUCAAGAGGGUAAACCUAUUCUCCCUAAAAAGUUGUAUCAACAUCUAUGCACCAUAAUUCAAGCAAAGGGACAUUACGGAGUGCAAGGGAUUCUGGAUACCAUACAGAGGUAUUGGACAGCACCAGGAAUAACAACAAAUGCUAUUAGAACUUGUCAGGCAUGUGAAACAUGCAGAAGAUAUAAUCAAGGACAUUUUAAGAGCAUAGCAUUGGGAGGCAGACCACUCAGAUAUAUACCUUUCCAGUGUAUUCAAAUUGAUUAUAUCAACAUGCUUAAAGACAAGGGAUACAAAUAUACAUUGGUGAUUGUGGAUAGACUGACUAGAUGGAUUGAAGCAUGUCCAUCCAAGAAAAAUGACACUGCAACGGUAGUGAGAUUUCUAUUAAAGGAGAUUAUAGCUAGACAUGGCAUUCCUGAUACCAUAGAUUUGGACAAGGGAUCCCACUUCACUUCCCAGGUUCUUCAAGAAAUCUAUAAGAACUUGGGGAUUAAGUGCAACUACCAUUCAGUUUAUCAGCCCCAAAGUUCCGGUCAAUUUGAGAGCAUAAACAAAGAGUUGAAGACACAAAUAGGUAAACUCUGUUCAGAAACACACUUAAAAUGAACAGAUGUUUUGCCUCUUGCUUUGUUCAACAUAAGAACCAGGCCUAGGACUGACUUGCUUAUAUCACCAUUUGAAAUGCUAUAUGUUCAGCCACUUUGGCAUGGUAGGACAGUAAAGCCAACUUACUUGUCCAUGUUAAAAGGGGAAUGUGUUCUUCAUGAAUAUUUAAAACAGAUACAACAUAGAAUUGAAGAACUAAGGAAAGUGGGUUUGCUCAUGCAAAGAAUACCACUAGAUUUUUCAUUGCAUAAGAUAAAAUCAGGUGACAAGGUAUAUGUCAAGAAUUUUAAUAGAGAAUCUCCUACAGAACCUAGAUGGAUCAGACCAACAAUGGUCAUAAUGACAACCCCAACAUCUAUAAAGGUUGAUCAAAGAGAUCCAUGGUUCCAUGCUUCACAUGUAAAAUUGUAUCACACCCAUAAUGUUGAGUAACCCUAGGAAAAUAACCAACAAUAACAGUCCUUGUGAAUGAAAGCCUAUGGAAAACAAAGGAAAGCACUGCAAAAGCCAACAAAACAAAGAAACAGAAAGAAAUAUUCAUUUAAAAGAGUAACAGCCACAGAAAGAUCUCUACAUUAUAUACAAAGUCUCUGCCAGCCAUAGUAACAGAACAGAAAGAAACAAGGUUAUCACAAAUGCAAACGUAACUCCAUUAUCAAAAUGAAAAUACAUUAAAUCCAAAUUCUAUUUCUAAGACAUAAGAAAACAUUCAAUUAAUUUCUUUGUGAGAAAAGUCAAACAUCAAAAGAUUAGAAAACUUCAAAUCAAUAUUCUUAACAAAAUUCUAAGAACUUAUGCACAAAGCUAUUAUGCUUACACCCACCCAUGAAGAUAUACAUAUGUAAUGCUUACUUCCACACAUGAAGAAUAACUGAUGUAUCCUGACAAGCAUUCAUGAAGAAUUCAGCUUACUUCCAUGAACAUAAGAAUUUCAAUCUUACAUACAUGCAUUUGUAAAUACCUUACACACAUGCAUGUUCAUGAUUGUUCCAGUUGUUCCUGAAUUGAAGAACACAGGUCUUCAAUCAAGAGUGAAAGAAAAUAGGAGAGUGCUAUGCUGACCAGAAGAUGAAGACAGAAUUUAUAUAAUCAACAUAAAAGGACAUGGAAGGACUGUGAAUUUGGGGGACUUGUGAUCAUGAGGAUAUGUAAGAAUACAUCAUACAUGUUAAAAUCACAUAUAUGCAUAUAUAUCCUACAUAGAAAAGGAAGAUAUCUCAUGGAAUGGGUGGAUGGCCUCACUAUGUAGAAACAGCUGAGUAAAUAAUGACUCCCAUGUGAAAAGUCAGUCAUUUCCUUUCUUUAAAAAUAUAGUCAAUUUGUUUUUCUGAGUGUAUGACAUCAUUUAAUGUUUCCUAUGUUCUAUACUUUCCAAUACACCCAUUGAAGAAAAUACUCAUCUUGUAUAGAUGUUGACUUCUGUUGAUGUUUGGAAUUUCUUUCUAUUCUUGAGCCACAGCCAUAUUUUCUAAAUAGUUUUUUCUAGCCUUUCCUGUGUCUAUAUUUCUGUUGAAGAUAUUGAGUAAUAAAUUAUAUGUUGAUUUUA
Molecule: non-coding RNA, 5213 nt
Organism: Monodelphis domestica (gray short-tailed opossum)
Lineage: Eukaryota; Metazoa; Chordata; Mammalia; Didelphimorphia; Didelphidae
Source: RefSeq, a predicted model, not a curated record